UUGCUCGAUCUUACAUUUUGAAAUUUAUCUUUUUCAUUUAGUUCAGAACAAUCUCUGAUAAAAUAAUCUCGUGAACCACAACUUUAACAAGCUCUAUUAUUAGCUUUUAUCCAGCACUCUCCAAAAUGUCAUCUUCCAUAAUGUUGACACUCAGGUUUAACAUCUUUCACAUUGCCAACACUUGAUACUGAUGUAGUUUGAACUUUAGGGCUGGUGAAUUGCUUUCCACGAUCUGUAUUAGCA
RNAcentral lists this long non-coding RNA (243 nucleotides) under Gossypium barbadense (sea-island cotton). Its description in RNAcentral is "long non-coding RNA (GBAR_LNC006480)". The record is from RNAcentral. Lineage: Eukaryota; Viridiplantae; Streptophyta; Magnoliopsida; Malvales; Malvaceae.